UACGUAGGUGGCAAGCGUUGUCCGGAUUUACUGGGCGUAAAGGGCGCGUAGGCGGCCCGCUAAGUCGAACGUGAAAUCACCGAGCUCAACUCGGGAACUGCGUCCGAUACUGGUGGGCUUGAAUCCGGGAGAGGGAUGCGGAAUUCCAGGUGUAGCGGUGAAAUGCGUAGAUAUCUGGAGGAACACCGGUGGCGAAGGCGGCAUCCUGGACCGGCAUUGACGCUGAGGCGCGAAAGCUAGGGGAGCAAACGGG
Molecule: ribosomal RNA, 253 nt
Filed under: uncultured bacterium
Lineage: Bacteria
Description: partial 16S ribosomal RNA
Rfam family: Bacterial small subunit ribosomal RNA
Source: RNAcentral